AGGAUGAACGCUGGCGGCGUGCUUAACACAUGCAAGUCGAACGAGCCUUCGGGCUAGUGGCGGACGGGUGAGUAACGCGUGAGAAUCUGCCCUCAGGAGGGGGAUAACGGCUGGAAACGGCCGCUAAUACCCCAUAUGCCGCGAGGUGAAAUGAGAAAUCGCCUGAGGAUGAGCUCGCGUCUGAUUAGCUAGUUGGUGGGGUAAGAGCCUACCAAGGCAUCGAUCAGUAGCUGGUCUGAGAGGAUGAUCAGCCACACUGGGACUGAGACACGGCCCAGACUCCUACGGGAGGCAGCAGUGGGGAAUUUUCCGCAAUGGGCGCAAGCCUGACGGAGCAACGCCGCGUGAGGGAUGAAGGCCUCUGGGCUGUAAACCUCUUUUCUCAAGGAAGAAGAACUGACGGUACUUGAGGAAUAAGCCACGGCUAAUUCCGUGCCAGCAGCCGCGGUAAUACGGGAGUGGCAAGCGUUAUCCGGAAUUAUUGGGCGUAAAGCGUCCGCAGGCGGUCUUGAAAGUCUGUUGUUAAAGCGUGGAGCUCAACUCCAUUUCAGCAAUGGAAACUAGAAGACUAGAGUGUGGUAGGGGCAGAGGGAAUUCCCGGUGUAGCGGUGAAAUGCGUAGAUAUCGGGAAGAACACCAGUGGCGAAGGCGCUCUGCUGGGCCAUAACUGACGCUCAUGGACGAAAGCCAGGGGAGCGAAAGGGAUUAGAUACCCCUGUAGUCCUGGCCGUAAACGAUGAACACUAGGUGUCGGGGGAAUCGACCCCCUCGGUGUCGUAGCCAACGCGUUAAGUGUUCCGCCUGGGGAGUACGCACGCAAGUGUGAAACUCAAAGGAAUUGACGGGGGCCCGCACAAGCGGUGGAGUAUGUGGUUUAAUUCGAUGCAACGCGAAGAACCUUACCAGGGUUUGACAUCCUGCGAAUCUUUUGGAAACAGAAGAGUGCCUUCGGGAGCGCAGAGACAGGUGGUGCAUGGCUGUCGUCAGCUCGUGUCGUGAGAUGUUGGGUUAAGUCCCGCAACGAGCGCAACCCACGUCUUUAGUUGCCAGCAUUGAGUUGGGCACUCUAGAGAGACCGCCGGUGAUAAACCGGAGGAAGGUGUGGAUGACGUCAAGUCAUCAUGCCCCUUACAUCCUGGGCUACACACGUACUACAAUGCUACGGACAGAGGGCAGCAAACUCGCGAGAGCUAGCAAAUCCCAUAAACCGUGGCUCAGUUCAGAUCGUAGGCUGCAACUCGCCUACGUGAAGGAGGAAUCGCUAGUAAUCGCAGGUCAGCAUACUGCGGUGAAUACGUUCCCGGGCCUUGUACACACCGCCCGUCACACCAUGGAAGUUGGCCAUGCCCGAAGUCGUUACUCCAACCCUUGUGGAGGAGGACGCCGAAGGUGGGGCUGAUGACUGGGGUGAAGUCGUAACAAGGUAGCCGUACCGGAAGG
This 1440-nucleotide ribosomal RNA is filed under the name Cyanobium sp. NS01. Its description in RNAcentral is "bacterial SSU rRNA". It matches the Rfam family "Bacterial small subunit ribosomal RNA". Lineage: Bacteria; Bacillati; Cyanobacteriota; Cyanophyceae; Synechococcales; Prochlorococcaceae. The record is from RNAcentral.